This 254-nucleotide ribosomal RNA is filed under the name uncultured bacterium. RNAcentral describes it as "partial 16S ribosomal RNA". It matches the Rfam family "Bacterial small subunit ribosomal RNA", at positions 524 to 776 of the family's 1533-position model. The record is from RNAcentral.
UACAGAGGUCCCAAGCGUUGUUCGGAUUCACUGGGCGUAAAGGGUGCGCAGGUGGUUUGGCAAGUUUGACGUGAAAGCCCCGGGCUUAACCCGGGAAUGGCGUUGAAAACUGCUUGAACUGGAGGGUUGGAGGGGGGACUGGAAUUCUUGGUGUAGCAGUGAAAUGCGUAGAUAUCAAGAGGAACACCAGUGGCGAAGGCGAGUCCCUGGACAAACCCUGACACUGAGGCACGAAAGCCAAGGGAGCAAACAGG